GACCAGAAGGCAUACCACCUCAACGAUUCUCACUUCAUGAUGAAGUGCCAUUUCGGCCUCAGGCACCUCUGCCAACUGACACGACUCCAUAGCAGGAAACGACUUUAGACUUUGUCCUAAGGGGCGUUCUUUAAAUAGACAAACUAUAAAGUUGCUGUCUCGUUUCUCCCUGUUCCCCUGAUCUUUUGCACCGUGCACACAUUCGUUUUGCAAAAUAUAGAACAAGUUUUGGCCUUUUUUUCGGAUAGGAAAGAGUGAUAACGUUGAUUGGGCGAUUGUGAUUGUGAUAAACCAUAAUUCAGUUUUUAUAGAGCAAGUUGUGGCCUUUUUUUCCGUUAGGGAAGAGCGAUGACGUUGAUUGAGGUACAACAUGUGAUAAACCUUAACUCAGGUACGAAUUUCAUUCUCAUGAUCCAUUCAUUUUAAGACCUCCACUUGUUCCGACCAAAUAUUUAGUUCAA
Molecule: long non-coding RNA, 461 nt
Organism: Parasteatoda tepidariorum (common house spider)
Lineage: Eukaryota; Metazoa; Arthropoda; Arachnida; Araneae; Theridiidae
Source: RefSeq, a predicted model, not a curated record